CGGGCGGGGUGGAGGCAAUGUCUGGGAAACUGCCCGAUGGAGGGGGGUAACUACUGGAAACGGUAGCUAAUACCGCAUAACGUCGCAAGACCAAAGAGGGGGACCUUAGGGCCUCUUGCCAUCGGAUGUGCCCAGAUGGGAUUAGCUAGUAGGUGGGGUAACGGCUCACCUAGGCGACGAUCCCUAGCUGGUCUGAGAGGAUGACCAGCCACACUGGAACUGAGACACGGUCCAG
RNAcentral lists this ribosomal RNA (235 nucleotides) under uncultured bacterium. RNAcentral's name for it is "partial 16S ribosomal RNA". It matches the Rfam family "Bacterial small subunit ribosomal RNA", at positions 104 to 334 of the family's 1533-position model. The record is from RNAcentral.